Molecule: small nuclear RNA, 103 nt
Filed under: Carlito syrichta (Philippine tarsier)
Lineage: Eukaryota; Metazoa; Chordata; Mammalia; Primates; Tarsiidae
Source: RNAcentral
GUGCUCACUUCAGCACACAUACUAAAACUGAAACCAUAAGAGAAAGUUAGCAUGGCCCCUGCACAAGGACGGAGUGCAAAUUUGUGACGUGUUCCAUAUGUUU